UACAGAGGGUGCAAACGUUGCUCGGAAUUACUGGGCGUAAAGCGCGCGUAGGCGGACUGGUGUGUCGGAUGUGAAAUCCCUGGGCUCAACCCAGGAACUGCAUUCGAAACUGCCAGCCUUGAGUGGUGGAGAGGGAAGUGGAAUUCCUGGUGUAGAGGUGAAAUGCGUAGAUAUCAGGAGGAACACCAGUGGCGAAGGCGGCUUCCUGGACAACAACUGACGCUGAGACGCGAAAGCGUGGGGAGCAAACAGG
RNAcentral lists this ribosomal RNA (253 nucleotides) under uncultured bacterium. RNAcentral describes it as "partial 16S ribosomal RNA". It matches the Rfam family "Bacterial small subunit ribosomal RNA", at positions 524 to 776 of the family's 1533-position model. The record is from RNAcentral.